RNAcentral lists this ribosomal RNA (513 nucleotides) under uncultured bacterium. RNAcentral's name for it is "partial 16S ribosomal RNA". It matches the Rfam family "Bacterial small subunit ribosomal RNA", at positions 28 to 523 of the family's 1533-position model. The record is from RNAcentral.
GACGAACGCUGGCGGCAUGCCUAAUACAUGCAAGUCGAGCGAACAGAUGAAGUGCUCGCACUUCUGACGUUAGCGGCGAACGGGUGAGUAACACGUAAGGAAUCUACCUAUAAGCGGGGGAUAACAUUCGGAAACGGGUGCUAAUACCGCAUAAUAUCUUCUUCCGCAUGGAAGAAGAUUGAAAGACGGCUCUGCUGUCACUUAUAGAUGACCUUGCGGUGCAUUAGUUAGUUGGUGGGGUAAUGGCCUACCAAGACGAUGAUGCAUAGCCGACCUGAGAGGGUGAUCGGCCACAGUGGGACUGAGACACGGCCCAAACUCCUACGGGAGGCAGCAGUAGGGAAUCUUCCGCAAUGGGCGAAAGCCUGACGGAGCAAUGCCGCGUGAGUGAAGAAGGCCUUCGGGUCGUAAAACUCUGUUAUAAGAGAAGAACAAAUUGUAGAGUAACUGCUACAGUCUUGACGGUAUCUUAUCAGAAAGCCACGGCUAACUACGUGCCAGCCGCCGCCGUAA